Long non-coding RNA from Magallana angulata, 1353 nucleotides. RefSeq lists it as uncharacterized. The record is from RefSeq and is a predicted model, not a curated record. Lineage: Eukaryota; Metazoa; Mollusca; Bivalvia; Ostreida; Ostreidae. The transcript is spliced from 3 exons.
GUAUCUUAUAUUGGCAAGCUUUUAAAUUAUUUAAAGUUGCAGAACAAUUGUUUAUUAAUGUGAAGUCGAAGUUUGGGGUGAUUAGCCUUAUCUCGUUAAAUUUUGUUCAGCAUGAAACAGUCUGAACAGCCAUCCUCGAUUUUGUCAACAAUCUAAAACGUGCUAAGGAGUAGUCAUUCGUCGAUUUACCUGCGGCUUCCAGAUGAUCUGAAGAUCGGGAAUAUAGAAAAUAUUAUCAAUUUGAUAUUGCUAAUGACCCAGUCAUGUCUGCUGAAGCCCAGAAGUUUCCAGACCAUGACAUUAAUGAAUAUUUCUUGAAUGGAAUGCAUGAGGAUUAGAAUGGAACCUUAUUCUGCCCUUUUACCAACCAUCUUUUCAAGAUUUAUGGAGCCAACUACAGAAGAAUUUGAUCUAUACACAUCAUUCAUAACAUUCUUAUUUAUGUUGCAUAACUUUAAAUGUUACUGGAUGAAUUGUGUUCACAUAAUGAAUACCAGCAAACUCUUUAUCGAGUGCACUUAAUUUGUAUUUUUCCUACCCAUCCAUCUAACAUAUGUUUUUAUAUAACAUAUUCAUAUACAUGUAACAUUUUUGGAAACAGCUAUUUUUUUUAAAUUGGAAUUUAGCCUUACUAUUUUAUGCAAGUUUUUUUUAAAGGGACUUGGACACGAUUUUAGAUCAAAAUUUUGUUUUCAAUUUCCUUAUGCAUAAAAUGAUUUACUUGCACAUUUUGAAUAAUUGACCAUAAUUUGAAUGUUAGAAGUCAAGUUAUAAGAGAGAUACAGGGUUAAGAAUUUAUUGUUAUGUAAACAAAGCUCGAGUCUUAUGUUUGUUUACAAAUAAUAUAAAGUAUGAAAUUACCACUUCUUUGAGAAAAUGAUUCAUAGAAAAGAAGGUAAACUGAUUCGAUGUGAUCAUAAAUGAUAUUAUUAAUAGAAAAAAGCAACAUUUGAAUGAAACUUACACCAAUAAAACACAUGUAAAUAAUAACAAGACUCGUGCUUUGUUUACAAAACAAAGAAUAUUUAAUUCUUUAUCUUUCUUUUAACUCAGUAUUUGACUUUCAAAUUUUGACAAAGCAUUAAAAAUACCCAUAUCAACCAUUCUAAAUAUUGAAAAUGGAAAUAUAAAAUUUUGAAUUUUAAGCUCAAAUCGUGUCUAAGUCCCUUUUAUAUACUCUUUUGUAUACAAACAGAACAAAAAUACUUAGUUACAAUGGGAAAUGGACAUAAUAUAUAUAAAAGUGUCUGAUAAAAGUAUAGGUCUUGUUCAUGAACAGAAGAAAUUGACAGAAAAAUAUUCAGUUUUAGCCAUGAAAUACAAAUAUUAAUAUUUUUUAAGAAUAUUAUUUAA